Pelobates cultripes (western spadefoot toad) is the source of this 449-nucleotide non-coding RNA. NCBI's taxonomy places the organism in Eukaryota, Metazoa, Chordata, Amphibia, Anura, Pelobatidae. The record is from the annotation of a GenBank genome assembly.
ACAUUUAGCUGGGUUUUGAUAGGUAAAUGAGCUCUCUUGUGUUUGUUCGAGUACUUUUACUUUAGCAUUUGUGUAAGGAUUAACAAGUGUAUCUAUUAAGUACAUGUAGCAAAUUAACCCAUCAUCGUUAACACUUCUCACAUUAAACAUAGUAAGGGUAAAGGUGUUGUCUAUACCAGUAGGUACCACACACCUACUCUCAGUAUUAUUUUGCAUUAUAUAUGUCCUAUCCUUGGUAAUAUUAAUGAUUAAAUCAAUUUCCAAUUCCUUCUGACAAUCAUGUGGUGUUCCAUGUAUUUCUAUCAACUCAGGAAUAACAUAUCUUUUACUGCUUUCUACUCUGAGUGGUUUAUCUUGUAACUUCAAUAUCCAAUGAGCUACCCUCUGGCUAUGUACUCCUAAAUCAGAACAAUUUUGUAACAGUUUUAAAGGCGUGUGGGGGGUUUGUA